GACUACAGAAAUAAUCAGACUCCUUCAAGAUCAUGAUAUUCCAAACAUGAAACCAAGUGACAUGCCAUAUCUCAACAAAUGGCGUGCUUAUUUCAGGAAUCCCUGAUCAAGAAAAACUUCUUUGUUCUUCAAGUGAUGAUUCUGUAACGCUAAUGUGAUUUUCAUGGGCAUGCAUCUUUACUACUCGAAGUCUCAAAGUCAUCCAGGAUGGUCAACUAUGUUCCUUCAAGAAGUUGAUUUGCACAAUUAGCACCCACAGAGUAUGGUGACCAAGUCCUUAGUUCUCAUAUUAGUUUGUACUCUUCCUAGUUUACUAGAUUGUAAAUUGUUGAUGGUUACAAGUGGUCGAUUAGUA
Helianthus annuus (common sunflower) is the source of this 355-nucleotide long non-coding RNA. RefSeq lists it as uncharacterized. Lineage: Eukaryota; Viridiplantae; Streptophyta; Magnoliopsida; Asterales; Asteraceae. The transcript has 2 exons. The record is from RefSeq and is a predicted model, not a curated record.